CCGAUCUAACACUGUAUACAAAAACGAAAUGACGAAAACUCGUACAUAAACAUCGAAAUUCAUUAAAAAAUUUUGCGAAAAUUCAUGAACGUUUUCACUUUCAUGGAACCCAUCGGAAUUUUUCGGCCAUGAUUUUGUGACCCUUCGGAAAAUGUCGUCGACAGCCCUAAUUUUCGUGACCAUUCGGAAAAUGUCGUCGACAGCCCGUCCAGCUUUUCGCCUAUUUGCUGAAGGGCUCGGAAAUUUCGCUGAUUAGCGAAAACCCUUAAGAAAAUGCGAUUUUUUUGUUCCCUUCGGAAAUUACCAUUUUUAGAACCCCUAAGAAAUACAAAUUUUCAGGACCCCUCCGAAGACGUCGUCGACAGGGGGGUGUAGAUAUUAAAUGGAAUGGCCCUUUGAAUUUACACCUGGAAAUUUUGCAAUAGUCGUUUGCGUGUUUUUUGACCGAAAUCCGCUCUCUCUUUGAGACUUUAUUUUUGGGAGUCUCAACUAGUGACAUAUAUUAUUACAACAAGAGCUUUUUACAAAAAAAAAUGUAGUUAUUAAACACGGCAGAAUCGAUGCCACGGCCACGGGUUUUCAAAUUGUCUAUUGUCUAUUGAGUUAAUUGUAUUAUUGAGCAAAUGACAGACUUCACGCAAUAAUG
Molecule: non-coding RNA, 646 nt
Organism: Paramuricea clavata
Lineage: Eukaryota; Metazoa; Cnidaria; Anthozoa; Malacalcyonacea; Plexauridae
Source: the annotation of a GenBank genome assembly